UUCGAUGAUGAAGAUGAGCAUCAGUCUUGAUGUAAACGCCAUGGCGUCCAGUCUUCCGUAUGUGUGAAGGCAGUAAUCAACGAUGGCGAUGGCGGCGCUGAGUGUUAACGUCGCUGACCCCUAAAUCACUAACGAAGUUCCAAGUUGGUGUUUUGGUUUCAGAUGGGGUUAGCGACGAUGACGUUUUAGCUUCCGGUGUAAGCUAGGUUUGCUAAUGCUGAUGACACUGCUGUAGAGAUAGCUGGAACAACUACUUUUUGGUUUGAAUGCAGGGACUUUAGAGAAUCAAUCCAAUGAAAUGAACAAUUCAAUGCUUUAGAAGGUGGGAUAGAGCUACUUCAACUUUUUUGGCUGUAUCUUUGCUUGAGCACAGCUAGAUGAUGGUCAAAUGAAGCUGCAAUCAAGAUUGAAGUCAGAUAUAUGAGUAUAUUUCUUGAUUGAUGAGGGUGUUUGGCUACUGGUGUAGAUAUAUUGUAUGAUUCGUGGUCCCCUGCUAUUACUGUGAGCUCUGUAUGCAUCAUCAUUCUCUCCAUGCUAUCAAGCUCUACUAAGAUAAGAUUGGCAAAGGUAAUUCGAAAAUUAAGAGAGGAAAUAAAGAAAGUGAGGCUUGAUUUACAAAGGGUUAUUUCCAGAUGGCUUCAUGAGAGAGAACAGAAAGUUAAAGUGGAGAAUGCUCUAGAGAAUCUUACGAAGGUUGAACACGAUGGCUUUAUUCAGUCAUAGCUACAUGAUCUCUUAAAGAAGAGUGAUUAUGGAGCAUAGUAAAUGCAAUUGCCCCAUUGAUACGCCUGUUCGGAUACUAAAUAGCACAAACUUUGAAGGAUGUUCAUCUGUAUAUAUUGUGAUGUUUUUAUAUUUGAUAAGUAUUUUAAAAUUUUCAGACGCUGUUAACGU
This 894-nucleotide long non-coding RNA is filed under the name Helianthus annuus (common sunflower). Its description in RNAcentral is "sRNA HanXRQr2_Chr04g0177441". The record is from RNAcentral. Lineage: Eukaryota; Viridiplantae; Streptophyta; Magnoliopsida; Asterales; Asteraceae.